AGAAGCCAGCCCGCAGCAACUCUGCAGGGAAGAAUAUAGGGAAAUAAACGCCUUCAUCUCUCUCUUGUCCCACCCGCAGAGCUCCUUCUGGGAUUCUCUAUUGGCUGAACUCAGCCAGAAGCUGCCAAGGGAGACCCCCACAACUGGAUGCAGCCCACUGAAGUCAGCUUCCUGGGGUGCGUAGCUGAAGGUAGCAGGGAGCAAAAAGAAUCUGAAGGGGAAGUGAACAAUGUAGAGCGUAUCUGUGCUGAAGACGUAAGGAGAGAGUGGAGGUCAGAAGCUGGCAUGGUCCCUGGUGCAUGUAUCAGCCGCUAAAGCUGGAGUGGAUGAAUCAGAACUUUCCCCAUGGGAGCAUUUAUAAAAAGGGGACACCCAGCGCAGAAGAUGUUUUCCAGGGAGAUCUCGGGGAGCCCAACAAGCCAAGAAGAGCAGAGCAAAGCAUUCCAAGGAAGGACUCUAAGUCUGCAACCGAGCACACACGAGGAAAUCACUGCACGGUGGACAAAGAUAUAUGCAUAAGGAUGCUCCUUCUGGCCAAAGACCAAAAACAUAACUGGCCAUCAGUAAAAGCCAACACAAGGAAAGACCAUGUGAAUACACAGCAAGAACGUGGUGCUCUGCAAGUCAGAAACAGACCCGUCAUCAGA
Molecule: long non-coding RNA, 647 nt
Filed under: Homo sapiens (human)
Lineage: Eukaryota; Metazoa; Chordata; Mammalia; Primates; Hominidae
Description: HSALNT0405432
Source: RNAcentral